AUUGAACGCUGGCGGCAGGCUUAACACAUGCAAGUCGAGCGGGGUGAUGGUGCUUGCACUAUCACUUAGCGGCGGACGGGUGAGUAAUGCUUAGGAAUCUGCCUAAUAGUGGGGGACAACAUCUCAAAAGGGAUGCUAAUACCGCAUACGUCCUACGGGAGAAAGCAGGGGAUCACUUGUGACCUUGCGCUAAUAGAUGAGCCUAAGUCGGAUUAGCUAGUUGGUGGGGUAAAGGCCUACCAAGGCGACGAUCUGUAGCGGGUCUGAGAGGAUGAUCCGCCACACUGGGACUGGGACACGGCCCAGACUCCUACGGGAGGCAGCAGUGGGGAAUAUUGGACAAUGGGGGGAACCCUGAUCCAGCCAUGCUGCGUGUGUGAAGAAGGCCUUAUGGUUGUAAAGCACUUUAAGCGAGGAGGAGGCUCUUUUGGUUAAUACCCAAGAUGAGUGGACGUUACUCGCAGAAUAAGCACCGGCUAACUCUGUGCCAGCCGCCGCCGUAA
RNAcentral lists this ribosomal RNA (503 nucleotides) under uncultured bacterium. RNAcentral describes it as "partial 16S ribosomal RNA". It matches the Rfam family "Bacterial small subunit ribosomal RNA", at positions 30 to 523 of the family's 1533-position model. The record is from RNAcentral.